AUUGAACGCUGGCGGCAUGCCUUACACGUGCAAGUCGAACGGCAGCACGGGAGCAAUCCUGGUGGCGAGUGGCGAACGGGUGAGUAAUGUAUCGGAACGUGCCCAGUCGUGGGGGAUAACGUAGCGAAAGCUACGCUAAUACCGCAUACGAUCUAUGGAUGAAAGCGGGGGACCGUAAGGCCUCGCGCGAUUGGAGCGGCCGAUAUCAGAUUAGGUAGUUGGUGGGGUAAAGGCCUACCAAGCCGACGAUCUGUAGCUGGUCUGAGAGGACGACCAGCAACACUGGGACUGAGACACGGCCCAGACUCCUACGGGAGGCAGCAGUGGGGAAUUUUGGACAAUGGGCGCAAGCCUGAUCCAGCAAUGCCGCGUGCAGGAUGAAGGCCUUCGGGUUGUAAACUGCUUUUGUACGGAGCGAAAAGGCUCUCUCUAAUACAGGGGGCUCAUGACGGUACCGUAAGAAUAAGCACCGGCUAACUACGUGCCAGCAGCCGCAGUAA
This 500-nucleotide ribosomal RNA is filed under the name uncultured bacterium. RNAcentral describes it as "partial 16S ribosomal RNA". It matches the Rfam family "Bacterial small subunit ribosomal RNA", at positions 30 to 523 of the family's 1533-position model. The record is from RNAcentral.